Molecule: unclassified non-coding RNA, 272 nt
Filed under: fungal sp.
Lineage: Eukaryota; Fungi
Description: partial internal transcribed spacer region
Rfam family: Eukaryotic small subunit ribosomal RNA (bases 1-46)
Source: RNAcentral
AAGUCGUAACAAGGUUUCCGUAGGUGAACCUGCGGAAGGAUCAUUAACGCAUCUCUGACGGGGAGGGUGCCCUGCUCCGGCUCCGGCCGUAGAGCGGGUCUCCGAACCGCUCAACUUCACAAACCCCACCGUGCACUUUGACGGCGGAGGCCGCGGGGGACUCGUCCGCCGUGCGCCAAAGCCGGACUCACAAACACGAGUUGACAAGUAUGACAGCGGACGUUGUGCCGCCUAACACAAAACAACUUUCAACAACGGAUCUCUUGGCUCUC